CCUACGGGUGGCAGCAGUCGAGAAUCAUUGACAAUGGAGGAAAGCCUGAUGGAGCGACGCAGCGUGAGGGAAUGAAGGUCUUCGGAUUGUAAACUCCUUUCAUGUGGGAGCAAAAUAAAAAGAGAGUACGACAAUAGGAAGAGACGGCUAACUCGGUGCCAGCAGCCGCGGUAAUACAGAGGUCUCAAGCGUUGUUCGGAAUCACUGGGCGUAAAGCGUGCGUAGGCGGAUUCGUAAGUCGUGUGUGAAAGGCGCGGGCUCAACCCGCGAAGGGCAUAUGAUACUGCGAGACUAGAGUAAAGGAGAGGGGACCGGAAUUCGCGGUGUAGCAGUGAAAUGCGUAGAUAUCGGGAGGAACACUCGGGGCGAAGGCGGGUUCCUGGACAUUAACUGACGCUGAGGCACGAAGGCCAGGGGAGCGAACGGGAUUAGAUACCCGGGUAGUC
RNAcentral lists this ribosomal RNA (446 nucleotides) under uncultured bacterium. Its description in RNAcentral is "partial 16S ribosomal RNA". It matches the Rfam family "Bacterial small subunit ribosomal RNA", at positions 338 to 795 of the family's 1533-position model. The record is from RNAcentral.